RNAcentral lists this ribosomal RNA (525 nucleotides) under uncultured bacterium. RNAcentral's name for it is "bacterial SSU rRNA". It matches the Rfam family "Bacterial small subunit ribosomal RNA", at positions 8 to 525 of the family's 1533-position model. The record is from RNAcentral.
AGAGUUUGAUCCUGGCUCAGAUUGAACGCUGGCGGCAUGCUUUACACAUGCAAGUCGAACGGCAGCGGGGGUGCUUGCACCUGCCGGCGAGUGGCGAACGGGUGAGUAAUUCAUCGGAACGUAUCCUUAAGUGGGGAAUAACGCAUCGAAAGAUGUGCUAAUACCGCAUAGUCUUUUACAAGUAAAGCAGGGGAUCGAAAGACCUUGCGCUUGAGGAGCGGCCGAUGUCUGAUUAGCUAGUUGGUGGGGUAAAGGCCUACCAAGGCGACGAUCAGUAGUUGGUCUGAGAGGACGACCAACCACACUGGGACUGAGACACGGCCCAGACUCCUACGGGAGGCAGCAGUGGGGAAUUUUGGACAAUGGGCGAAAGCCUGAUCCAGCCAUGCCGCGUGAGUGAAGAAGGCCUUCGGGUUGUAAAGCUCUUUCAGUCGGAAAGAAACGAUUGCAACUAAUAAUUGUAAUUAAUGACGGUACCGACAGAAGAAGCACCGGCUAACUACGUGCCAGCAGCCGCGGUUAAUA